Molecule: ribosomal RNA, 233 nt
Filed under: uncultured bacterium
Lineage: Bacteria
Description: partial 16S ribosomal RNA
Rfam family: Bacterial small subunit ribosomal RNA
Source: RNAcentral
UCCACGCCCUAAACGAUGAACACUAGUCGUCGGGAUGCUAGUCAUCUCGGUGAUGCACUUAACAGAUUAAGUGUUCCGCCUGGGGAGUACGGUCGCAAGAUUAAAACUCAAAGGAAUAGACGGGGACCCGCACAAGUGGUGGGGUCCCCGUCUAUUCCUUUGAGUUUUAAUUCGAAAAUACGCGAAGAACCUUACCUAGCCUUGACAUUGAAGAAACACACUAGAGAUAGAGU